UACGAGUGGUCCUAGCGUUAGUCGGAAUCACUGGGCUUAAAGGGUGCGUAGGCGGAUCUGUAAGUGCUUUGUGAAAUCCCCGGGCUCAACCCGGGAAUUGCAGGGCAUACUGCGGAUCUUGAGGAAUCUAGAGGCCGGCAGAACGAUAGGUGGAGCGGUGGAAUGCGUAGAUAUCUAUCGGAAUGCCAAAGGUGAAGACAGCCGGCUGGGGAUUUCCUGACGCUGAGGCACGAAAGCGUGGGGAUCAAACAGG
This 253-nucleotide ribosomal RNA is filed under the name uncultured bacterium. Its description in RNAcentral is "partial 16S ribosomal RNA". It matches the Rfam family "Bacterial small subunit ribosomal RNA", at positions 524 to 776 of the family's 1533-position model. The record is from RNAcentral.